This 77-nucleotide transfer RNA is filed under the name Acidobacteriota bacterium. RNAcentral's name for it is "tRNA-Arg". It matches the Rfam family "tRNA". From Rfam's summary of the family: Transfer RNA (tRNA) molecules are approximately 80 nucleotides in length. Lineage: Bacteria; Pseudomonadati; Acidobacteriota. The record is from RNAcentral. RNAcentral also lists the same sequence under 2 other names.
GACCCCGUAGCUCAGGUGGAUAGAGCAGGAGUUUCCUAAACUCUUGGUCGGAGGUUCGAGUCCUCUCGGGGUCACCA